Molecule: long non-coding RNA, 2246 nt
Organism: Numida meleagris (helmeted guineafowl)
Lineage: Eukaryota; Metazoa; Chordata; Aves; Galliformes; Numididae
Source: Ensembl
UGAUUCUCUAUGGGUCUCUAUGGGUCCCGCUAUGGGUCCCUAUGUGUCUCUAUGGGUCCCUAUGAGUCUCUAUGGGUCCCUAUGGGUCUCUACGUGUCCCUAUGGGUCCCUAUCGUUCUCUAUGGGUCCCUAUGUGUCCCGCUAUGGGUCUCUAUGGGUCCCUAUGUGUCCCUAUGGGUCUCUAUGGGUCCCUAUGAUUCUCUAUGGGUCUCUAUGGGUCCCGCUAUGGGUCCCUAUGUGUCCCUAUGGGUCCCGCUCUGGGUCUCUAUGUGUCUCUAUGGGUCCCUAUGGGUCUGUAUGGGUCCCUAUGCGUCCCUAUGUGUCCCUAUGGGUCUCUAUGGGUCCCUAUCGUUCUCUAUGGGUUUCUAUGGGUCCCGCUAUGGGUCUCUAUGGGUCUCAGUGCGUCUCUAUGUAUCUCUAAGGGUUUCCGUGGGGCGCGCACUCACGUGGCGCCGGUCGAUGGGGGGGUGGCAGAGGGAGACGGCGACGGCGACGGCGCACGUGGCGACGAAGAGGAGGGCGGCGAAGUGCAGGUAGUGCAGGCCGCACAGGAAAUCCGGGCAACGCCCCGCCCCCCACGCCGCCCCGCUUCCGGUUCCCCCGCUUUCCAUUCCGACGCUUCCGGGUUCCGGGGCGGAGCUUCCGGUGCCGGAGCUUCCGGUGCCGGAGAAGCCGCUUCCGGUGCCGACCGCCCUCAUCCAGGCGCUGGAGGUGAGGUUUCCGGUCUCGCCGCUUCCGGUCUCGCCGCUUCCGCUUCCGGCCUGGCACGGCGACGUCCCCGUUCCCAUGGCGAACUCGGGAACCAUGCGGGCCAGGCCCAGCGCCAGCCCGGCGGCCAGGCCCCAGAACGCGCCCUGUGGGGGAGGACCGGGUCGCCUCGGUGGCCACUGCGUGCCCUUGGCGGCCAUUUUGUGCCCUUGGUGGCCACUUUGGGUCACUUGCUGGCCACCUGGGUCGCUUGGCGGCCAUUUUGUGCCCUUGGUGGCCACUUUUGGUCACUUGGUGGCCACCUGGGUCACUUGGCGGCCAUUUUGUGCCCUUGGUGGCCACUUUUUGUCACUUGGUGGCCACCUGGAUCACUUGGUGGCCAUUUUGUACCCUUGGUGGCCACAUUUUUUGUCGCUUGGUGGCCACCUGGGUUACUUGGUGGCCACUUUUUGUCACUUGGUAGCCACUUGGGUCGCUUGGCGGCCAUUUUGUGCCCUUGGUGGCCACUUGGGGGGCUUGGUGGCCAUUUUGUCACUUGGUGGCCACUUGUGUCGCUUGGCGGCCAUUUUGUGCCCUUGGUGGCCACUUUUGGUCACUUGGUGGCCACAUGGGUCACUUGGCGGACAUUUUGUGCCCUUGGUGGACACUUUUGGUCACUUGGCGGCCAUUUUGAGCCCUUGGUGGCCACUUUUGGUCACUUGGCGGCCAUUUUGUGUCACUUGGCGGCUAUUUUGUGCCCUUGGUGGCCACUUUGUGCCCUUGGCGGCCAUUUUGUGCCCUUGGUGGCCACUUUUGGUCACUUGGUGGCCACUUUUUGUCACUUGGUGGCCAUUUUGUGCCCUUGGUGGCCAUUUUGUGCCCUUGGCGGCCAUUUUGUGCCAUUGGUUGCCACUUUUGGUCACUUGGUGGCCACUUGGGUCACUUGGCGGCCAUUUUGUGCCCUUGGUGGCCAUUUUGAGCCCUUGGUGGCCACUUUGUGCCCUUGGCGGCCAUUUUGAGCCCUUGGUGGCCACUUUUGGUCACUUGGCAGCCACUUGGGUCACUUGGCGGCCAUUUUGUGUCACUUGGCGGCCAUUUUAUGCCCUUGGCGGCCAUUUUGUGCCCUUGGUGGCCACUUUUUGUCACUUGGUGGCCACUUUUGGUCACUUGGCGGCCAUUUGUGUCACUUGGCGGCCAUUUUGUGUCACUUGGCGGCCAUUUUGUGCCCUUGGUGGCCACUUUGGGUCACUUGGUGGCCAUUUUGUGCCCUUGGUGGCCAUUUUGUGCCCUUGGUGGCCACUUUUGGUCACUUGGUGGCCACCUGGAUCACUUGGCGGCCAUUUUGUGCCCUUGGUGGCCACUUUGUGCCCUUGGUGGCCAUUUUGUGCCCUUGGUGGCCACAUGGGUCACUUGGCGGCCAUUUUGUGCCCUUGGUGGCCAUUUUGUGCCCUUGGUGGCCANNNNNNNNNNNNNNNNNNNNNNNNNNNNNNNNNNNNNNNNNNNNNNNNNNNNNNNNNNNNNNNNNNNNNNNNNNNNNNNNNNNNNNNNNNNNNNNNNNN